This is a long non-coding RNA of Sinocyclocheilus grahami, 97 nucleotides long. RefSeq lists it as uncharacterized. The record is from RefSeq and is a predicted model, not a curated record. Lineage: Eukaryota; Metazoa; Chordata; Actinopteri; Cypriniformes; Cyprinidae. The transcript has 3 exons.
GAAAAAAGAAAAACCCACAACUAUGAUUGUCUGUAAACUUUCAGAUACUUAAAGCACUCUCAGAUACUGAAAGUACUUCUUCUUUUUUCCUAAGCAU